Molecule: ribosomal RNA, 1348 nt
Filed under: Kocuria sp. LWYT1006
Lineage: Bacteria; Bacillati; Actinomycetota; Actinomycetes; Micrococcales; Micrococcaceae
Description: bacterial SSU rRNA
Rfam family: Bacterial small subunit ribosomal RNA
Source: RNAcentral
GAUGAUGCCCAGCUUGCUGGGCGGAUUAGUGGCGAACGGGUGAGUAAUACGUGAGUAACCUGCCCUUGACUCUGGGAUAAGCCUGGGAAACUGGGUCUAAUACUGGAUACUACCUCUUACCGCAUGGUGGGUGGUGGAAAGGGUUUUACUGGUUUUGGAUGGGCUCACGGCCUAUCAGCUUGUUGGUGGGGUAAUGGCUCACCAAGGCGACGACGGGUAGCCGGCCUGAGAGGGUGACCGGCCACACUGGGACUGAGACACGGCCCAGACUCCUACGGGAGGCAGCAGUGGGGAAUAUUGCACAAUGGGCGGAAGCCUGAUGCAGCGACGCCGCGUGAGGGAUGACGGCCUUCGGGUUGUAAACCUCUUUCAGUAGGGAAGAAGCGAGAGUGACGGUACCUGCAGAAGAAGCGCCGGCUAACUACGUGCCAGCAGCCGCGGUAAUACGUAGGGCGCAAGCGUUGUCCGGAAUUAUUGGGCGUAAAGAGCUCGUAGGCGGUUUGUCGCGUCUGCUGUGAAAGCCCGGGGCUCAACCCCGGGUCUGCAGUGGGUACGGGCAGACUAGAGUGCAGUAGGGGAGACUGGAAUUCCUGGUGUAGCGGUGAAAUGCGCAGAUAUCAGGAGGAACACCGAUGGCGAAGGCAGGUCUCUGGGCUGUUACUGACGCUGAGGAGCGAAAGCAUGGGGAGCGAACAGGAUUAGAUACCCUGGUAGUCCAUGCCGUAAACGUUGGGCACUAGGUGUGGGGGACAUUCCACGUUUUCCGCGCCGUAGCUAACGCAUUAAGUGCCCCGCCUGGGGAGUACGGCCGCAAGGCUAAAACUCAAAGGAAUUGACGGGGGCCCGCACAAGCGGCGGAGCAUGCGGAUUAAUUCGAUGCAACGCGAAGAACCUUACCAAGGCUUGACAUUCACCGGACCGCCCCAGAGAUGGGGUUUCCCUUCGGGGCUGGUGGACAGGUGGUGCAUGGUUGUCGUCAGCUCGUGUCGUGAGAUGUUGGGUUAAGUCCCGCAACGAGCGCAACCCUCGUUCUAUGUUGCCAGCACGUGAUGGUGGGGACUCAUAGGAGACUGCCGGGGUCAACUCGGAGGAAGGUGGGGAUGACGUCAAAUCAUCAUGCCCCUUAUGUCUUGGGCUUCACGCAUGCUACAAUGGCCGGUACAAAGGGUUGCGAUACUGUGAGGUGGAGCUAAUCCCAAAAAGCCGGUCUCAGUUCGGAUUGAGGUCUGCAACUCGACCUCAUGAAGUCGGAGUCGCUAGUAAUCGCAGAUCAGCAACGCUGCGGUGAAUACGUUCCCGGGCCUUGUACACACCGCCCGUCAAGUCACGAAAGUUGGUAACACCCGAA